This 439-nucleotide ribosomal RNA is filed under the name uncultured bacterium. RNAcentral describes it as "partial 16S ribosomal RNA". It matches the Rfam family "Bacterial small subunit ribosomal RNA", at positions 339 to 795 of the family's 1533-position model. The record is from RNAcentral.
CUACGGGGUGCAGCAGUGAGGAAUAUUGCACAAUGGGGGGAACCCUGAUGCAGCAACGCCGCGUGGAGGAUGACGCAUUUCGGUGUGUAAACUCCUUUUAUAUGUCAAGAAAAUGACGGUAGCAUAUGAAUAAGCACCGGCUAACUCCGUGCCAGCAGCCGCGGUAAUACGGAGGGUGCAAGCGUUACUCGGAAUCACUGGGUGUAAAGGACGCGUAGGCGGGUUGGAAAGUCAGGUGUGAAAUCCUACAGCUUAACUGUAGAACUGCACCUGAAACUUCUAAUCUAGAGUAUGGGAGGGGGAGAUGGAAUUAGUGGUGUAGGGGUAAUAUCCGUAGAUAUCACUAGGAAUACCUAAAGCGAAGGCGAUCUCCUGGAACAUUACUGACGCUAAGGCGUGAAAGCGUGGGGAGCAAACAGGAUUAGAUACCCGGGUAGUC